UUGUCUAGACUCGGCCCAUCGCUUAUGCCUCUUUCGCACUCCUCACCGAGGAGAGCGCGAGAAUAACGGCCAGUCUGCGCACGUGAAAUCUUGAGGUAAUACUAGGCGGCGGCCUGCGUGUAGGCGCGGACUUGCCGAGGAAUGAAUAAUCUGUUAAAGCUGGAUUGCGGCAUUCAAAUUCCAAGAAAGACGGGCGUCGACAUGGCAGCAAAUUCAGAAUUGUCCAAGGACGGUUUUCAUGUGCAGAGGAUUAGAAGAUGAGCUUACUCCUCUGGAGAAGGUUCUUCGUAGUGCGUGUGUUAUUCCGCGCCACUGUUUGGAAAAUUGGCGGUGUUAUAUUUAGUUUUGUUUUUGCGGACUGGUAGUGAAAGACGAAAGAUAAGCGCGUCUUGAGCGCCCUGGGUGGUUCUCAUUAUGCCGUACCCUGAGAGGAAUUCCCACUUAACGAACUCAAAUCUAGCGAGAUGGACAAUUGAGCAAAAAAAAUAUAUACCAGGACUUGUCAAAUUCCACAGACAUUCCAGAAGGAUUGUAUGAUUUAUAGUACUGACCAUGGCUGAGAGAUCAAGAAGCAUCUGGAUAUACACUGCACUGUUUCCAUCCUGGUCCUUCCAAAGGUCAUCAACAAGAGCAAUCAUUGCAUUUUCUGUGCUCUAUCCUGUUCUGAAAGAUGACUGAAACAAGUUUAAAUAAUCAGUCCCCUCACGGUUCUGAAGUUGUUCCCCAACCAUCUUUUCAGUGACCUUCCCUUGAAGACUGAAUGAAAAACUUUGGAUUUGAUGGCCCUCUUGUGUUGGGAGCACUCCACCACCUGUUUUAAGAUUGGAGGAACACUUCUUCAAGGAGACUGACACCACUGCAUGGAGUCAAUCAUAUGUCACUUCCAGGGCAGCAUCAAUAACCCAGUAGAGUUAUAGAUCUAAUAAACUGGUGGCUAAGCUCAUCAUUUGAAGGACUCUGUCUAUUUAAUUGGGAGUCACAAGAUCAAACUCAUUCUAGAUAAACAAUAAGACACUGCCCCAAGCCCCUCAACUGAACUUGCUUAGUCAACCUCCAACUCCAAGCAGAUCUGAAUGACUUUAUCCAUCAGAUAACUAGAAUAUGUUUUGCAGCACCCCUCAGUAUUCUUGGGGCUUGUCCCUUUCAAGCAAGAAUGAGUCAUCCUGAAUGGUUAUUAGCAGACCAAGCAGAGCAGUCAAGAUGCUUUGCUGGUCUUACAGGCACAAUUUAAUCCCAAAUAUUGGCUCUUUCUCAUGUUCAGUCAGCUUUGUUCUUUGUCUUUUUCCAUCAAUUCAAUAAACAUGUCUUUUAGACCUUGGCCAAA
This is a long non-coding RNA of Crotalus tigris (Tiger rattlesnake), 1324 nucleotides long. RefSeq lists it as uncharacterized. The transcript has 2 exons. Lineage: Eukaryota; Metazoa; Chordata; Lepidosauria; Squamata; Viperidae. The record is from RefSeq and is a predicted model, not a curated record.